RNAcentral lists this ribosomal RNA (310 nucleotides) under uncultured bacterium. RNAcentral's name for it is "bacterial SSU rRNA". It matches the Rfam family "Bacterial small subunit ribosomal RNA", at positions 30 to 334 of the family's 1533-position model. The record is from RNAcentral.
AUUGAACGCUGGCGGCAGGCUUAACACAUGCAAGUCGAGCGGUAACAUUUCAAAGCUUGCUUUGAAGAUGACGAGCGGCGGACGGGUGAGUAAUGCUUGGGAAUAUGCCUUAGGGUGGGGGGACAACAGUUGGAAGCGACUGCUAAUACCGCAUAACGUCUACGGACCAAAGAGGGGGAUCUUCGGACCUCUCGCCCUUUGAUUAGCCCAAGUGAGAUUAGCUAGUUGGUAAGGUAAUGGCUACCAAGGCGACGAUCCCUAGCUGGUCUGAGAGGAUGAUCAGCCACACUGGAACUGAGACACGGUCCAG